Molecule: long non-coding RNA, 386 nt
Filed under: Numida meleagris (helmeted guineafowl)
Lineage: Eukaryota; Metazoa; Chordata; Aves; Galliformes; Numididae
Description: lncRNA (ENSNMEG00000022106.1)
Source: RNAcentral
GGAAAUUGGAAGAACUGAUAUUUUGUGGCUUGUGAUUUUGUCCCUUACUGAUAUUCACCCUCAAGUCUCCCACUGUUACUGGAGAUUCUGCAGGAACUAAACUAUAGUGUCUCUAUGAGAACACUGUAACCACAAAGAUAUAUGCAGCAAAGCUGUCAAUACUUACCUGGUGUUGUAUUUAUCCAGAGAGAAGCUGUUUGUUAGUAUUUGGCCCUGACACAGUGAUAUUAUCCAAGAAACUGAAAACUAUGCCUCAGUUGACUGAAGGAACAUGUUCCCCCAGUGUUUCUCAGACCAGAUUAUCUUAAAAGGACUAGAUGCCUUUGCCACAAGAGCCUAACCAAAAAGGUGCACUGAAGCCUCUUCUUUAGAGCUGUGGAUGUAAG